AACGUAGGAGACAAACGUUAUCCGGAGUUACUGGGCGUAAAGGGCGUGUAGGUGGUUUCGUAAGUCUGGCGUGAAAUUUCUCGGCUUAACCGAGGCAGGUCGUCGGAUACUAUGAGACUAGAGGACGGUAGAGGCGUGUGGAAUUCCGGGUGUAGUGGUGAAAUGCGUAGAGAUCCGGAGGAACACCAGUGGCGAAGGCGACACGCUGGGCCGUACCUGACACUGAUGCGCGAAAGCCAGGGUAGCAAACGGG
RNAcentral lists this ribosomal RNA (253 nucleotides) under uncultured bacterium. RNAcentral describes it as "partial 16S ribosomal RNA". It matches the Rfam family "Bacterial small subunit ribosomal RNA", at positions 524 to 776 of the family's 1533-position model. The record is from RNAcentral.